Syngnathus acus (greater pipefish) is the source of this 407-nucleotide long non-coding RNA. RefSeq lists it as uncharacterized. The transcript has 3 exons. The record is from RefSeq and is a predicted model, not a curated record. Lineage: Eukaryota; Metazoa; Chordata; Actinopteri; Syngnathiformes; Syngnathidae.
CAGACAAAUUGAACAAGUCAACUCGCUUGCAAAAGAGUCAAGCGUUAUUUCAAAACAAAAGGUGGUGAAAUCUUCAUAUGACCUACUACUGGGACAGCGGCUUCCCACCAGCAUGCCGUUCAUCCAUCGCCUGGCGAUGAUGGAGUCCAGCCCACACACGAUGAUGUGGAACUCUGCAGGGAGACAAGUUCAAGUUUGGGAGAGGUGACUCACUCUGCUGAAGUUGACAUCUGACAGAGGAAAAACACACUUACGCCUGUAGAAGGACUCGUCAAAGUCCUGGAUUUUUUUGAAGUGUCUGAACGUGAAUCUGAUAAGGAAUUAAAAGCAUGUUCAUGUUCUUGCAAGUGUGAUAAGGUCAAGGUUCAUUGGAGACUCUGAGACUGUUCCAGACAGGAUACGGUACA